RNAcentral lists this long non-coding RNA (881 nucleotides) under Bemisia tabaci. RNAcentral describes it as "lncRNA ENSSSA3NGG014894". Lineage: Eukaryota; Metazoa; Arthropoda; Insecta; Hemiptera; Aleyrodidae. The record is from RNAcentral.
GGUACUCGCGCAGGCGCAGCCUCGACCGCGGCGCGCGGCCGGACUUUCAAUCUCGUUUGGGAUUCAUCGCCCGUUCGCGUUCGUUCGUUCGUUCGCUCCGAUUGCCUCAGCGACUUGGACUUGGACGAAUCGGAUUUCUCCGCCGUCGCGCUUCAGUCGCCGAUCGCCCGCCCGCCCGCGAGAACCCGUUGUCGUCGCGCGCGCCAUCGAUAGUCGAUCACACGCCGAUUACGCCCGAGCCACCGGCGCUUAAGUGCUAAGUACCCGUAAGUUCUCGUUAAGUUCCGUCGGCACCCGAUGACGUCAUCGGGGUCCGCGUAAGUUCGGUCGCGUGUCGCCGGUUAACGAAGUUUCGGCUGUUUAGGGUGAGAAUGGCUAUUUAAACAUUCUUCUCCGGUGUUUAAAUCCGGGCAAAUGAACCAUCUUCCUGUGUGCCUUUAUACCGUUGAACAAUUUGAGUGUUCCUUCAUAUUCGGUCAGUGCUCGGUGUUCUAUCCUAGACAUUUUUCAACCAUUAGUUUGGAACGUUUUAGAAGUUUUUUGCGUGCAAAAACUAUCGCUUAAAAUAAUUAUUUUGAACUUUAAAAUUUCCGCCCAAAAAAAUGCGUCGCGUGUGGGUGUACGUUAACGGUCACGUAACCGCUUACCUGGAUUCUGCUAGCAAAAUCCCUGCCUCAACUUUGGAUGAUGUUCGACCAAGCGUCAAAUUUCCGCACGGAAGAUCCAAUUUAAAGGUGCAAAGACUGACUCAAUACGAAGAGUACCUGACAAACCUGCUCGAUGAUCCCGAACAGAUCAUGACGAUACCACCACCGUCAGGACCCGCGUCAACCAGGUAAGACUCCCCUUCCCUCCUUAUUAAAUCCAUAUUUCUGGUUGCA